RNAcentral lists this ribosomal RNA (910 nucleotides) under uncultured crenarchaeote. RNAcentral describes it as "bacterial SSU rRNA". It matches the Rfam family "Archaeal small subunit ribosomal RNA", at positions 1 to 920 of the family's 1478-position model. Lineage: Archaea; Thermoproteati; Thermoproteota. The record is from RNAcentral.
UUCCGGUUGAUCCUGCCGGACCUGACUGCUAUUGGAUUGAUAUUAAGCCAUGCGAGUCAUUGUAGCAAUACAAGGCAUACUGCUCAGUAACACGUAGUUAAUCUACCCUGUGGACGAGGAUAACCUCGGGAAACUGAGAAUAAUACUCGAUAGAUCAUUAUGCUUGGAAUAGUUUGUGAUUUAAAUGAUUUCGCCAUAGGAUGAGACUGCGGCCUAUCAGCUAGUUGGUGUGGUAAUGGCUCACCAAGGCUAUAACAGGUACGGGCUCUGAGAGGAGAAGCCCGGAGAUGGGUACUGAGACACUGACCCAGGCCCUAUGGGGCGCAGCAGGCGGGAAAACUUUGCAAUGUGCGAAAGCACGACAAGGUUAAUCCAAGUGAUUUCUGCUAAAGAAAUCUUUUGUUAGUUUUAAAAACACUGAUGAAUAAGGGGUGGGCAAGUUCUGGUGUCAGCCGCCGCGGUAAAACCAGCACCUCAAGUGGUCAGGAUGAUUAUUGGGCCUAAAGCAUCCGUAGCCGGUUGUGUAAGUUUUCGGUUAAAUCCAUGUGCUUAACAUAUGGGCAGCUGGAAAUACUAUACGACUAGAAAGUGGGAGAGGUAGACGGUACUCGAUAGGAAGGGGUAAAAUCCUUUGAUCUAUUGAUGACCACCAGUGGCGAAGGCGGUCUACCAGAACACGUUCGACGGUGAGGGAUGAAGGCUGGGGGAGCAAACCGGAUUAGAUACCCGGGUAGUCCCAGCUGUAAACAAUGCAAACUCAGUGAUGCGCUGGAUUGUGUCCAGCGCAGUGCCGCAGGGAAGCCGUUAAGUUUGCCGCCUGGGAAGUACGUACGCAAGUAUGAAACUUAAAGGAAUUGGCGGGGGAGCACCACAAGGGGUGAAGCCUGCGGUUCAAUUGGAGUCAACGCCG